This 253-nucleotide ribosomal RNA is filed under the name uncultured bacterium. RNAcentral describes it as "partial 16S ribosomal RNA". It matches the Rfam family "Bacterial small subunit ribosomal RNA", at positions 524 to 776 of the family's 1533-position model. The record is from RNAcentral.
GACAGAGGGUGCAAGCGUUGUUCGGAAUCACUGGGCGUAAAGGGUGCGUAGGCGGGUCUUUAAGUCAGGGGUGAAAUCCUGGAGCUCAACUCCAGAACUGCCUUUGAUACUGAGGAUCUUGAGUUCGGGAGAGGUGAGUGGAACUGCGAGUGUAGAGGUGAAAUUCGUAGAUAUUCGCAAGAACACCAGUGGCGAAGGCGGCUCACUGGCCCGAUACUGACGCUGAGGCACGAAAGCGUGGGGAGCAAACAGG